UUUCAGAGAAGGGGAAUAGAGAGGAAAAUUGUAAACAUUCCCAACUGCUAUCUCAACCCAAACUGCAGCUUCUAGACCCACCCAUGGUGGCCUACUCCCUGCUUUCAAAACUGGCAUGCUUGGGUAUCCUCGCAGAGAGAGAGAGAGAGAGAGAUUUUAACCC
This is a long non-coding RNA of Telopea speciosissima, 163 nucleotides long. RefSeq lists it as uncharacterized. Lineage: Eukaryota; Viridiplantae; Streptophyta; Magnoliopsida; Proteales; Proteaceae. The transcript is spliced from 3 exons. The record is from RefSeq and is a predicted model, not a curated record.